ACUUUUACUUCUUCAUGGAUUAACAUAUAUUGAAGUUGUGACAAUAAUAUUAUUGAUUUUCACAGGUAUAUGUAGAGGUUUUUGCAGGAGCAAUGCUUUUAUUAGCUGGAGCACUAGCUUGUUAUGGAAUAUUACUAUGCCUGAAAAUGAGCAAAGUCAGAACUGAAAGAGCUUCUUCAGAGCUUUGGAAGGUUCAUCAAUCCCCUCAGCCUUUUUAUUAUGGGUAAUGAGAGAAGCACCACCAUUAAUAAUAGCUUAUGUACAACAAGAAUCAGCUACAUUAACUUUCGUAAGUGAUAGUACAGCAGCAAUACC
Long non-coding RNA from Humulus lupulus (European hop), 315 nucleotides. RefSeq lists it as uncharacterized. The transcript has 3 exons. The record is from RefSeq and is a predicted model, not a curated record. Lineage: Eukaryota; Viridiplantae; Streptophyta; Magnoliopsida; Rosales; Cannabaceae.